Long non-coding RNA from Crotalus tigris (Tiger rattlesnake), 1550 nucleotides. RefSeq lists it as uncharacterized. NCBI's taxonomy places the organism in Eukaryota, Metazoa, Chordata, Lepidosauria, Squamata, Viperidae. The record is from RefSeq and is a predicted model, not a curated record. The transcript is spliced from 3 exons.
UGUUUGCACUCUGGAAGUGGGAACAAUGCUGCAGGAGCCUGCAGGCAGCGACUCGGUUCGUCCGACCAACCUUUUCUCUCUGUCGGGGAGCGCUGCAUAAAGUUGCUACUGUUCCCCUGCAGUCCCUGUAAAUGCUUAGCCAUGAUUAUCACCUACACAUGAAACCGGAAGGAUAUCCCAAUUGGGCAUCAGAUCUUUCUGGAGCAGUGCCCCCUCUCCGGAAUUAAACAUGGACACUCUUUGCAGUUUCAAGAAAAGGUAUUUCUCUGUCUGAUCAUCUGGAAAUGCAGAAUUGAAUGUGGGACCACUGAACACAUACAUUUCCUGAAGAACUAGAUCCUCACAUCAAUGUAUCAAAAUUGAAAAGGAGUCAAGACAUUGUUCUUCUUUGGUAGACAUUAAGCCUCCUCCAACUUGAUACUUUAUUCUGCAAGUCAUUUGAGCACCUGAUGCAUCUGGAGGUCAUGAGUGUAUUGCGGUUUUAAAUCAUAUCUGGGAAAUUAUUUAAACAAACUGUGGCUAAGCAAAGUGGAAAGCAGCUAGAACAUUAAUUAGAUUCCAGUGCUACAAGAACAUUUAAAAUGGGAGUAUAUCUCAUUGAACUUGAUUGCGCUUACAUCUGAAUAUUUACACGUAGGGAUACUUUAUUGUAAUUGCAACGAGUGAGUGAUUGCUAUUGAGUCAGAUACAAUAACUAAUUUUACACCUAUAGUUUCAAAGUUGUCUAAUAGAACAAGCUACGUUUAGUGGUAUUUGAACAUUUUCCAUGUUAAUUUUUCAAAUAUCAUCUACAGUUUAUAAUAAGGAAGUAAGACUUGUCUAGCACUGAAUCACUCUCAGAAUCUGGUGGAUGAUAAAGAGGCAUGGAAGAAUUUGCAGAGGAAAGAACAUUUGAUGGUUAAAGCUUUCUUUCAUCAAAGUCUGCAUGAACUUGAAAAUCUGAGUUAGUGUUCUCUAAUGUGUAGUGCAAUUUCAAAAUUCAGGAUUGAGAGGUCUAUCAUAUCUAACAUAUCUCAAGGUUUCCAGGAUGGAGAAGAGGAUUAUGCACAGUCUUUCUUAACCUUAGCAAUUUUAAGAUGUGUGAACUUCAACUCCCAGAAUUCCCUAGUCAGCUAGGGACUUCUGGGAAUUGAAGUCCACACACCUUAAAGUUGUCAAGGUUGAGAAACAAUGCUCUAUGAGUUCAUUUGGAAAGCAAUAAUCUGUGCUUUGCUAUCAGCAGAAAAGCUUCUGAAGAACUCAGUCCUGUGUUGUCAAAUGUACUAUGUUGCCCACCUUUCAGAAUGUGUCUGAUGUGAGAAUAUAAAUAUAACGAACUGUUAAUGAUCUACAUGCAAAAACUUUGGGAGAAUCUUGAUAACUUGUCUCUUAUCUGGUUUGCUAGUCUUUGGAACUUCUUGGGAAAGUGAAGAGAAGAACAUUCUGUUAAGUAAUUCUGUCAUUGCCUAUAUCAGUGGUUCUCAACCUGUGGUUCGGGACCCCAUUUGGAGUCGAACGACCAUUUCACAGGGGUCGCCAAACAACGCAGUCCGCCAUUUUUUCCCCCUUUU